AGUAGCAUACUUCAGAUGGCGACCGGCGCACGGGUGAGUAACACGUAUCCAACCCGUUGCUUACUCGGGGAUAGCCUUUCGAAAGAAAGAUUAAUACCCGAUGGUAUAAAGAGUUCGCAUGUUCUCUUUAUUAAAGAAUUUCGGUAAGCGAUGGGGAUGCGUUCCAUUAGAUUGUUGGCGGGGUAACGGCCCACCAAGUCUACGAUGGAUAGGGGUUCUGAGAGGAAGGUCCCCCACAUUGGAACUGAGACACGGUCCAAACUCCUACGGGAGGCAGCAGUGAGGAAUAUUGGUCAAUGGACGAGAGUCUGAACCAGCCAAGUAGCGUGAAGGAUGACUGCCCUAUGGGUUGUAAACUUCUUUUAUAAGGGAAUAAAGUGAGGGACGUGUCCCUUUUUGUAUGUACCUUAUGAAUAAGGAUCGGCUAACUCCGUGCCAGCAGCCGCGGUAAUACGGAGGAUCCGAGCGUUAUCCGGAUUUAUUGGGUUUAAAGGGAGCGUAGGUUGACGUAUAAGUCAGCUGUGAAAGUUUACGGCUCAACCGUGAAAUUGCAGUUGAUACUGUAUGUCUUGAGUGUACAAGAGGUGGGCGGAAUUCGUGGUGUAGCGGUGAAAUGCUUGGAUAUCACGAAGAACUCCGAUUG
Molecule: ribosomal RNA, 643 nt
Filed under: uncultured Bacteroides sp.
Lineage: Bacteria; Pseudomonadati; Bacteroidota; Bacteroidia; Bacteroidales; Bacteroidaceae
Description: bacterial SSU rRNA
Rfam family: Bacterial small subunit ribosomal RNA
Source: RNAcentral